AGAGUGAACGCUGGCGGUAGGCCUAACACAUGCAAGUCGAACGGCAGCACAGUGGUAGCAAUACCAUGGGUGGCGAGUGGCGGACGGGUGAGGAAUACAUCGGAAUCUACCUUUUCGUGGGGGAUAACGUAGGGAAACUUACGCUAAUACCGCAUACGCCCUUUGGGGGAAAGCCGGGAUCGCAAGACCUGGCGCGGAUGGAUGAGCCGAUGUCGGAUUAGCUAGUUGGUGAGGUAAUGGCUCACCAAGGCGACGAUCCGUAGCUGGUCUGAGAGGAUGAUCAGCCACACCGGAACUGAGACACGGUCCAGACUCCUACGGGAGCAGCAGGUGGGGAAUAGUUGGACAAGUGGGG
This 355-nucleotide ribosomal RNA is filed under the name uncultured soil bacterium. Its description in RNAcentral is "bacterial SSU rRNA". It matches the Rfam family "Bacterial small subunit ribosomal RNA", at positions 26 to 377 of the family's 1533-position model. The record is from RNAcentral.